UUUUUUUGGAGGGGCAAAGUCUGGUGCCAGCAGCCGCGGUAAUUCCAGCUCCAAUAGCGUAUAUUAAAGUUGUUGCAGUUAAAAAGCUCGUAGUUGAAUUUCGGGAUCAUCAGGUUGGUCGUGCCUCUGGUAUGUACUGAUUUCGAUGGUUCCUCCUUCUUGUAGAACCGUAAUGCCAUUAAUUUGGUGUUGCGGGAAAACAGGACUGUUACUUUGAAAAAAUUAGAGUGUUUAAAGCAGGCAAUCGCUUGAAUACAUUAGCAUGGAAUAAUGAAAUAGGACGUUUGAUCCUAUUUUGUUGGUUUCUAGGAUUGACGUAAUGAUUAAUAGGGAUAGUUGGGGGCAUUAGUAUUCAAUUGUCAGAGGUGAAAUUCUUGGAUUUAUUGAAGACUAACUACUGCGAAAGCAUUUGCCAAGGAUGUUUUCAUUAAUCAAGAACGAAAGUUAGGGGAUCGAAGACGAUCAGAUACCGUCGUAGUCUUAACCAUAAACUAUGCCGACUAGGGAUCGGAUGAUGUUAAUUUUUUAAUGACUCAUUCNGCGCCNUUACGGGAAAACAAAAA
RNAcentral lists this ribosomal RNA (563 nucleotides) under uncultured Glomus. Its description in RNAcentral is "SSU rRNA". It matches the Rfam family "Eukaryotic small subunit ribosomal RNA", at positions 539 to 1102 of the family's 1831-position model. The record is from RNAcentral. Lineage: Eukaryota; Fungi; Glomeromycota; Glomeromycetes; Glomerales; Glomeraceae.